Long non-coding RNA from Monodelphis domestica (gray short-tailed opossum), 5528 nucleotides. RefSeq lists it as uncharacterized. Lineage: Eukaryota; Metazoa; Chordata; Mammalia; Didelphimorphia; Didelphidae. The record is from RefSeq and is a predicted model, not a curated record.
UGGAAUUGGAACCACAUGGUCAGUCCUUUGGAGUGGCUGUCUUUGCUGUAGUUUGAAUACUUGGCGUGGCUGUUCAGUUCAAGAAAGGAGCUCAUUGUUCUAUAUCUUAUCCGGCCAGGUGAUCUUUAUUUAUUUUUUAAUUGAAAAUUUUUAUUUAAUUAAUUAAUUUAGAAUAUUUUUCCAUGGUUACAUGAUUCAUGUUCUUUCCCUCCCCUCCUCCUAAGUCGACAUGCAAUUCUACAUGUGUCAUUGAUCAAGACCUAUUUCCCUAUUAUUUAUAUUUGUACAAGGAGGAUCUUUUAGAGUCAACAUCCCCAAUCAUAUCCCUAACGACCCAGGUGAUCAAGCAGUUGUUUUUCUUCUGUGUGUCUACUCCCACAGUUCUUCCUCUGAAUAUGCUGGGUGAUCUUUAGAAUCUUCCCAAGACAGUUCCCAUGGAAGCUAGUCAGUCUUGGCACGGCCCUGGUGUAUGUCCAGGGUACUCAGGCAGACCACGGUGAAGUCAGCACAAAAGCUCUGUGGACGGUCAGUUUAGGACACAGCCUAAGUGUGGCUUAGUGAGGAGGAAGACGGUAUUCAGGUUUAAUCUGAUAGUAACAACUCACAGGAUUUCUGUGAUGUCCCAAAGGCUAUUUAUGGGCUGAGGACCUAUGGUGUAUUCAUUUGCUCAGAGCUGAUGGAGGCACAGUGAUGGGUGAUGAGGACAUGAUCCUGGAGAGAUGGGUUGAGCACUUCCAAAAUGUCCUUAACAGACCAUCAUCAAUCAGUGCUGAGGCCAUUGACAGUAUGUAUGUCUCAGGUCGAAGUCAAUCCCUUCCUAGUCAAACUUCCAACUGAAGAGAUAUUAAAUGCUGUCAGGUUCUUUCUCUAUGGCAAAGUGCCUGGUUCUGAUUCCACUCUGGCAGAAGUUACAAGGCAGGAGGUCCUCGAAAACUGACUGAAACCUUCUGGGAUAUAUGGCAAGAGGAGGUUAUCCCCAGGAGAUCAAGGCCGCCUCCAGCGCCCAUCGCUACAGGCAACAUACACACAGUGCCAGUGGAGGGAAAGUACUAGUGGCCGUAGGGUGGAGAGGAGGGCAUUUGCUGCCCAGGGGCAGGAUUUACUCGAGCCUUGAAGGAAGCCAGGAGGCCGAGGUGAGAAGGGACCCGGGAUGCAGAGGGGUGGGUUGGGAGAUAGGGGAAUGGCAAGUUGGCCACAGUUUCUGAAUCACAGAGGGUGUGGAGAGUAGUACAUUGGAAUAAGAUCUGAAAGGUAGGAAGGGGAAAGGUUGUGAAGGGUUUUAAAUGUCAAAUAGAGCAUUUUAGAUUGGAUCCUGAAGCUAAGUGGCUUGGGGAGCCAUUGGAGUUCAAUAAAGUGUAGGAGUGCAUGCAUGACAGAGUCAGAUUUGAUCUUUAGAUUGGGAAGAUCUUGUGCCCUUGCUGGGGAAGCUGGGAAGAGAAGAUGGUUUGACUGGGGAGAGAAUAAGUUCCAAUUUGGAGAUAUUAAGUUUGAUUCUUCUAAAUUUCUUCCUCCCUCUAAAUCUAUGAUUGUGCAGGGCAGAUAUGGGAGGGACUAACUCUUGAGGUAUCAGGUUUCCAAAAAAGCUCAAGAGAAAGAAAGAAUCGUUCAGGAUAUUAACAAGAAAAUUUCCCAGCUUUAUUAAACUGAGGGACAGAUUCCAGACAGACAAGAUUAUAGGCCAUUUGAAUUUUAUAAUUAUUAUUGGGUAUUCUGUUUUUUUCUUCUUUUAUUUUGCCAGUGGCACAUAUAUGAGAGGAGAUGGUGUCCAUCCUGGGGGGCACCACGGAGUGAAUUUCUCAUUCUCAGAAAGAGGGGUGGGAAAGUGGUUAAGAAAUUUGCCAAAGUGAAUCUGGGCUUUUCAUGUUGUGAGGCCCUCUUAUGUAAGGAUUAUGGAAGAACAUGCGUCUCUUUAUUUUUCACAAUGUGAAAAGACACUUUUUAGUAGUGGUGAUUCAUCUCACCAAAUUAUUUGCUUUUAUUGCCAUGAAUUGAGAAAUUAGGUUAGGGAAAAAUAUGCAAAGUAGAGGCAAAAUAGCAGUAAGAGAAAGAAAAGAAGGGAAAAAAAAACCUUGGAAGUUACAUUCACUUUGUUGGCAAAACUUAAAGUCAUUUGACAUUUAUUGUGGGCAAUUUUCAGAGGGAAUUGUUUGCUAUGAUAGGUUUAUUUUUUCUUGAAAAAGCUUUUGUUUAGCUCAACUUUUCUUAUUCUGUUGCCAACAAGGUGUCUUCUAUGGAAAUAAAUUUCCUGUCAUCCUCACACAACAAUACAAAGAAUAAUAUAUAUUCUCUCUAACAUUUAAUUAAAGAUUUUUCAAAGCAGUAAAGCCAUGCAUGUAAAAGAAAUGCAGAAAAAAAAUAGUUGGAGAAGGUAUUGAGGAAACAAGGGCCAGUAACUGAAAAAGUACAUUUUAUAAUUAUCUUUGGUCAAGAAUAUUAUUUUCUAACCUCUGUUUGGUUUUCCAAAUAGUCCUAGCUCCAUCUUCAGCUGCUGUCCUGUGCAUACAAAGAGACCCAUGGUGGGUUCCUGCUUAUGAGCCCUGUACUAUUCGCUUUUUAACUAAGUCAUUCUUUCCAUUCUGUUGAUUCAGAGUUCCCCUUCAGACUUAUCUCAGGAUCCUAACAUUUGUAAAUAGCAGUCAAGGUGAACUACUCCCUAGAAGCAGUCCUGGGUUGAAUGUUUGACCAAGAUUAAGUAAGAUCUGGCUUUGAAUCCUGCCAUGGGGUUUUCAAGUUGUGUGAACCUUCAGUUUCUUCAUCUGUAAACAAGGGGUGAGGCUCCAUCUCUAAAGAGUCUUUCAGUAGCAAGUCUAAGAUCUCAUUUAGCCUCCUUUUAUGGCCAACCCAUCAUCAUUUUAACUCUUCAUUUUUUAUAAGUUUCUUUUUCUUAUUUAUAGUAGUAGUAGCUUGAAUUUUAAAAGCAUUCUGCAGUACUUUUGAAUAAUUGGUAUAUUGAAUAAUUUGUAUUCAAUUUUUUGAUUUGUAAUUGAAUUUGUAAUUGAAUAAUGAUUCCUGUUUUGCAGGUAAAGAAAAGGAGGUUUGGAGAGAUUAAUUAACAUGCCCAUGAAUGAUGACAGGGUCAGGCUAUGAUGACAGGGCUUUUGAUUCCAUUUGGCCAGUCAUUUGUAAAAUCAUAGAUCUGAUGUAUGGAGCUUAGUGGGAGUCAAGAGAUAGGUCAUUCCUGGUCCAACAUAACCAGUCUUUAAACCACAGAAUGCUGCCAUAUUCUUUACUACCAAAGAAAGGGAGAUGUCAUGUCAAAUCUGGAGGAAAAUAAGUGGGCCACUUUUUCUGGAACACACUGUGAGAGGAGUAAUGUGAAAUAAGUUUGGAAAGGCUGGAGGAGACUUGUGUGUGCCUGUAGGCAGGAGAAGAGGAGAGCCAGUAGAAGAGAAAUUAAAGAUGAUAGAAAGAGAGAAAAUGACUUCAAAAGAAGGCUUUCAGAAGAGAUUGGGGAGAGAUGGGGUCAAGAGCACAGCUGAAGUGCCUUGGUUUGACAAAUAGAAAGGAUACUUCUUCCUUGAGAAUGUAACAGAGGAGAGCAUGUGGGAUCAUUCAAAGGGAUUUUGAAGUGUGAAAUGAGGGGAGGCAGCUCUUAAGAAGGGCUUAUCUUCUCAAAAAAAGUAGAUGAGAUCCUGGACUGAAGUGGGAGCUGUAGAGGGUUUGAUGAGAGGAGAAGUAUGGAUUAGCCACUGACAUAACCUAGGUCCUUGGUUGGGGGUGGGAGGUUCUAAAUAGUAAACACAGGUGGUUCAGACCCCCCAGUCUCACUGGGCUAAGGUCAAACAAUGCUUAAUUUCCACAAUCACUGCCUGCCUUGGAGUCUACCCAGAAAAGAGCAAAACUUAACCAAAAGUUGCACUGCGGUAUUUAACAUAUCAUUAGCAUCUCAUUUACAUAAUGGUGUGCAACCUGCUCCCUCCCCCAAGGGGGCAAACAGAGUGAACUAUGGGUAAAGUUGCCCAGACCAAAGUGGAGACCAUGGAUAAAGUGGUAUCAGUUCCCUGGAGACACAGGGCAAGGACUGCCCAAACAAAUGAUGCCUUCCUUAGUAAUCAAGCAGGAUGGAAAGAGUUCCCAAGAGCCUUGACCUUUCUGUCAACAGGGCCAUUCCACCAGCUUCCUCCCCGUUUCAGUAAAGCUUAUUCCUUGGCCAUGGAGAUUGUCUGAGGCAUUAAUUCUUUGGAUGAGACCCCAAACUCGCCUUUCGCAUCACUGGAAUAAUAAAGGAAUUGCCUGUAGUGGCAAGGGCUAACUAAGAUCAGAUCCAUUAAUAGGGGACUCAGUUGUCAAGAUCACAGGAUUUUCUCUAAUAAUUUUCUUUAAAGGCAGGCAGCACAGAUGGAGGACGGCUUGUGGAACUGGCAUUUUACCCAGACGGAGCCCCUUGAGGAGGUUUCAAUUUCAGUAGGUGGCUGGUGCUUCUUGAACUUCAGGGUUGGCUUCCCUAGAGACCAAAAAGAGCCAGGAUCAUGGCAGGAUCUCUGAUCACUCUCCCUGGGUGCUAGACCUCUUCAUCCUCUGGGAUUCUGAAUAAAGCACUGUGUCCAAUUAAGCUAUACUUGUGUGUUUCUGUUGGUGUAAUUUAAUUCCACUGAAAUCAAGCAGGACAAGAGAGAGGGGGCAGUUUUUGUACCACUAAGUGGAGGCAUGAGCUGUAAGAAUCUAAUGAGAUAAAUUCAAACACGCCACCACCCCAGAUUAGGCAGAUAAGUGCAGCAACAUGCAAAAGGCACAGAUUCAGAGCUGGAAAGGAACUAGGAGACUAAGCCAUCCCACAUCCUAUUUUUACAAAUGAAGGACUGAAGAUAAGAAAGUUGAAUGACUUGCACAGAUGCCCACAGGUAAGUAGCAGAGGCAGGAACUGAACCCCAGAAAAUGCAGCAUUCUUUCUUCCAGACCCAUCUGCUGGGACACAACACAUGGACUUGGGGGAAAUGAGUUCAUUUUUUAGGAUGGAAGACUGACAAAUGUCAGGCAAUUGGGGUUGUGACUUGCCCAGGGUUACACAGGUGGCAACUAGUUCUUAAGGUCUUUUUGAGUCUACCUCACCUUUAUUGUGGACAGAUGUGCCACCCUUGGACUCUGAUUUUGUCUUCUCAUCUCUCAUUCCCUUUUCAGAAGCUGGACUCAUGCAUGUCCCUACUGUAGAAAUAACUCACAUUCACUGUCAGUGCCUUUAAGUGUGUCUGUUAGAUUCAUCUAGUGUGGUUGACAUCAUUGGGGUCAAGUUUCAAUUAACAAUAAUGCAUUACUUGUAAUAGUUAACACUACGUUUAUGUAAUACUUUAUAUCUUCUAUUUCAUUUGACACAGCAACCCUGGGAAAUAUGUGCUAUUAUUAUCCUCAUUUUAGAGGGGAGGAAACUUGAUGUUGAAAGAGGUUAAGUGACUUGCCCAGGGCCAUACAGCUGUAAGCAUCUGAGACAGGAUUCAAACUUGGGUCUUCCUGAUCGCAAGUUCAGCACUCUAUCCACCAUGCUACCUAGCUACACCAUUUAUUGAGUGUCUAGUUACUAAAGAUACAGACAA